CUAGGAUGGCCUUAGCUGGAUGACUUGUCUCUGCUCCACGUGUUUCUUGGAGGCCUUCAGCAGGGUAGCCUGGGCUUGUUCUCACAAUAGUAGCAAAGAUUAUAGAGAGGAAGUAAAAAGGUACAAGUGCUUUUUACAGUCCCUCUUUGCAUCCCAUUUGCUUACUGUCCAAUUGGCCAAAGCAGAUUGCAUAGCCAAGCGCAGAAUCAAUAUAAGUAUUUAAUUCAAUCAAGCUACCUCUGUCACUAACCUGCGUUUUAAGGUGGUAGGACCUGUUAGCUGUAGGGCUGUGGCUGUGUUGAAUGGGAGGCUGGCUGGGGCUAGAGUGAAUAACUGAAGACAACCAAGGAGAGACUGAGCACCUUCACCAGUUGCCGCCUUCCCCUCUGCCAUUUCUCCUUACAACAGGCUUCAAUACUGACACAGUGUUUACGGAAUACCAUGUUGAAGAGAACCAGGAAGAGGAGUGGAAAGUGAUGAAGCUUUCACUCAGUGCACCACACUGACCUGGAAAUCCUGAUUCCUGCUUUUGAAAAAUCUUCCUGGCUGCUAGAGUGGAUGAGGUUUGAGUACCGGGAAAUGUGUUAGGAGGCUGUUUCAGGGCUUCAGCUGGGAGUAACUUGAAUGGCUGAGGCUGGAACAGCUGAACCUGGAGGAUCCACUUCCAAGAUGGCUUCCCCUCUCCUGUGCCUCUUCCCUGGGCUGAAGGCCUGACUCAGCUGGAAAUGUUGACCAAGAUGCCAAUGUGAAGUACUAAGGUAGCCCAUCUCUUAUAGGACUAUGUAGCCCUCCAAGAGCAAGUGUUCCCAGUGACCAAGGUCAUGGCCUUUGAUGACCUAGCCUUAAAAGUCACACAGCAUCACUUCCACUGGAAACUGUGAGCCACCUAAGUUCAAGGGAGUAGACGUUGACUCUACCUUGUACAGGAUGGAGCAGCAAAGAAUUUAGGAUCAUGCUUAAAGCUACCGCAUCUUACUCAUCAUCUCCCUCACUAGAAAUUAAGCUCUAUGACACAGGGACUUCUGUAUCCUAUGUAUUAGUCACAGUUCUCUAGAGAAAUAGAACCAAGAGGAUACACAGAGAAAUAUAUAAAUGGAGAUUUAUAGUACGGUAGAGUAGCUCACACCUGCUAGUAAUCUCAGCACUUUGGGAAGCUGAGGCAGGAGGAUCCCAUGAGUUCAGGAGUUCAAGAUCAGCUUGGGCAACAUAGCAAGACAGUGCCUCUACAAAAAAAAAAAAAAAAAAUUAAAAAAUAGCUGAGUGUCGUGGUACAUGCCAGCUACUUGGGAAACUGAGUGGGGAGGAUGACUUGAGUCCAGGAGUUUGAGGCUACAGUGAGCUACGAUGAUGCCACCGCACUCCAGCUUGGGAGACAGAGUGAGACUUCAUCUCUUAAAAAAUAAAAAUAAUUUAAAAAGAGAUUUCUUAUGCGCAUUGGCUCACGUGAUUGUGGAGGUGAGAAGUUCCGUGCCAGCUGUUUGCAAGCUGGAAAGCCAGAACACUGGUGGUAUAAUUCUGAAUCUGAAUGCCUGAGAACCAGGAGAGCCACUGGUUUUAGGCCCAGAGUCCAAAGGCCUGAUAACCAGGAACUGCAAUGUCUGAGGGCAAGAGAAGUCAGAGGUACCAGAUCGAGAAGAGUGAAGGAGAAUUCAUCAUUCCUCUGCCUUUGUGUUCUAUUCAGGCCCUCAAUAGAUUGGAUGAUGCCCAUCCAUAUUGGUGAGAGCAGAUCUUCACUCAAUCUACUGAUUCAAAUGCUAAUCUCUUCUAGAAACACCCUCACAGGCACACCCAGAGACAAUGCUUUACCAGCUAUCUGGACAUCCCUGAGUCCAGUCAGAUUAACUGUCACACCCUAGUACGUAGAAAGAUAUAUAUUUGUUGAAUGAAUGAAUGAAUGAAUGAUGGAUAUAAAACCAUGGAACCAGAUGAGAUCACUUAGGGAGACAGUACUAGAGGAAAGAUUACAGGGCUCAAUACAAAGCCCUCAGGGACACUCCAACAUUUAGAGAGUGUGAUCAAAGAGGAAGCAAUAAAGUUAUUUUCCAUGGAUCAUCUGAGCCCCUCGAAAAUUAGUCAAGGAGACAUGCCUACCUAGAACUUAUGCUUCAACCUCUCCAUUAUGCAGUUGAACAGAACCUGGCAUUCUCUGUCCUUGUGGUCUUGAGCUCCCUUCCUCAAAAAGACAGGCCACGCAGCCAUCAUGUGCACCCCUAGUUCCUAAGGUCAGUUUUUUGGUGUUGGAUUGGGAGGCAGUGAGUUGAACGUAUGAUCUGGGGAGACCAUACAUAAGUAGGGAGACCCCCUGUGCUUUGAGAUAAAGUCAGAGGUGGUAAGAGAACGGGAGUACGCUAUGAGCAGGGGCCCAGGACUCAGGAACCACCUCUCAUCAAUCACCAUAUUCCUUGGUGCAGAACUUGGAGGGGCUGAGGAUUCAAAACUUGAACCUGGCUUCCCAGGUUGCUACAAAGUCAUAUUUGUCAAGGCAGAAUACUAGAACAUAUUUUAUUUAGCAGUUUUUUCAGCUUGAUUAGGAUGCUAGAAUAUAUUUUAUUUAGCAGUUUGUUAGCUUAAUUUAUAACUUUUAAUAUUUUGGCAUACGUAGGGAGACAUUUGUUCAAUUGCUCUUGGUUCUUUAACUGUUAGAGUUGGGCAUAGUUAGGUGAAGGGUCUGAGGUGGGACAGUGUUGCUACCUCCAGAAGCCAGGAUAUCUGAGCCUCAGUUCCAAUCCAUGGAAACCCAUGCUGCACUGGCAAUUAAAAUUUGCAAAAAUUGGAUUAUGUUGCCACCAAGGGAACUGUGAGAAUGCUCUAAUAAAAUCAUGAUCUAAACUUCCAGACCUCUCCCAGAUAUGAUUAACAAAGAUCGAGAAUGCUUUUCUAUUUAAUUAGGGAUUUUAUGAAGUAGGAGUCCUCAAGUAAGCAGCUAUGCAUAAAUCUCAGUCUCUGCAUUUAAUGGGAUGUAUUAUUUAAGUUUUAAAAUUCAGGAGUCCAGUGUUUGUAAAAACAUUAGUCUAUGUUAUAAGAUGCUACAGCUUGGUUGAUCACAGAGACCCCUUUGUUCACAGAAGUAUCUGUAACAAGCCAGGUUUACUUUCAAACAUAU
Long non-coding RNA from Symphalangus syndactylus (siamang), 3103 nucleotides. RefSeq lists it as uncharacterized. NCBI's taxonomy places the organism in Eukaryota, Metazoa, Chordata, Mammalia, Primates, Hylobatidae. The record is from RefSeq and is a predicted model, not a curated record.